This 662-nucleotide small RNA is filed under the name Pongo abelii (Sumatran orangutan). RNAcentral describes it as "processed transcript". The record is from RNAcentral. Lineage: Eukaryota; Metazoa; Chordata; Mammalia; Primates; Hominidae.
GGCUCCUGGGCCUGGCUCCUCGACCCGCCCCUGGAGGCGGACCCCACUUGACUUAAACUCUGGGGCCCGGGAGGCCGCCGGCUUUCUCCCUGCUUGCCGGGGUGGUCCUCUCCUCUUUGUCGGACCAAAGAAGUAAAUACUGUGUGGAGGGGGACUGACGUGUUUGGAGGGAAAUGGGAAGGUACACGAUAAUUAAAGAGUAAAGUUGUGCUUAACGAUAAUGUUAAUUCAAGACUCUCAAAGAGAAGCUUCAGUGCAGAUGGAUUUGAGAUGCUACAAAACCCAGUAAAAGAUUCAAAAGAAAUGUUUCAAACCUACAAACAGAUGUACCUGGAGAAGAGAAGCAGAAGCCUUGGUAGCAGUCCUGUAAAAUAAUUACAAGAUGUGGUUUUGUAAUUGCCACUGGGAAAUUUCUUUCCUUUUCUGUUCAAAAUAUUUCGCUGAAACUAAUGAGAAAUGCCAUGAUAAAGAUUUCUCAGAGUUUGGUUCCCACUUUCAUUAUGUUUCAUUGAAAGUGCUUAAGAACUUUGGGUAGCCAUGUGUAAGAAAUGGAUGAUGUUCACCGGGGAAACAUAAGGUAUUUGAAUUUCUGCUUUAUUGAACCAGGUUUGCUAUUAUUUUAAAUGGAGUGCUUAUACAAAUCAAUUUGAAAUUCUACCCAU